Molecule: non-coding RNA, 27 nt
Filed under: Homo sapiens (human)
Lineage: Eukaryota; Metazoa; Chordata; Mammalia; Primates; Hominidae
Source: RNAcentral
CUUCCCAGAAGAUGAGUGCAUGAGAGG